AAUUGAAGGUGUGAAGUGUGUCUCUGUCUGCAAUGGACGCUGAGCAUCAACAACAUGAAGAUGAACCUGAAACUCAACGCUACUUUCCUUUGCCGUCAUCGGUGUGUGAGUUGUGACAACAUUUUUUUUAAUACUAAACUAUUGAGUCCCAAACAAACACAACACAACACCUGCCACUGUACCAGCUCAAACUCAAUAUCAUCUAUUAAUCCAACUCCAUUUCUUCACACCAAAUUCAAUCACUUUAAUCAUUUACUUUCUAUCACUCACUUUAUAUUCUUAUUUCCUACUUUUUAUUUCCACAUUUUAUCACAUUUAUCUUCACACCUC
This 330-nucleotide long non-coding RNA is filed under the name Phaseolus vulgaris (common bean). Its description in RNAcentral is "long non-coding RNA (PVUL_LNC003233)". The record is from RNAcentral. Lineage: Eukaryota; Viridiplantae; Streptophyta; Magnoliopsida; Fabales; Fabaceae.